UCAGGCAGCUAACUCUCUGCAACUCUCACAUGGUCGCCCAUGGUCGCCCACUGAAGCUAAGCAGGGCUGCGCCUGGUCACUACCUGGAUGGGAGACCACAUGGGAAAGCUAGAUUGCUGCCGGAA
This 125-nucleotide ribosomal RNA is filed under the name Danio rerio (zebrafish). The record is from RNAcentral. Lineage: Eukaryota; Metazoa; Chordata; Actinopteri; Cypriniformes; Danionidae.